This 253-nucleotide ribosomal RNA is filed under the name uncultured bacterium. RNAcentral describes it as "partial 16S ribosomal RNA". It matches the Rfam family "Bacterial small subunit ribosomal RNA", at positions 524 to 776 of the family's 1533-position model. The record is from RNAcentral.
UACGAAGGGGGCUAGCGUUGCUCGGAAUCACUGGGCGUAAAGCGCACGUAGGCGGAUCGUUAAGUCAGGGGUGAAAUCCUGGAGCUCAACUCCAGAACUGCCUUUGAUACUGGCGAUCUUGAGUAUGGGAGAGGUGAGUGGAACUGCGAGUGUAGAGGUGAAAUUCGUAGAUAUUCGCAAGAACACCAGUGGCGAAGGCGGCUCACUGGCCCAUUACUGACGCUGAGGCACGAAAGCGUGGGGAGCAAACAGG